This 960-nucleotide ribosomal RNA is filed under the name Enterococcus faecalis. RNAcentral describes it as "bacterial SSU rRNA". It matches the Rfam family "Bacterial small subunit ribosomal RNA", at positions 80 to 1025 of the family's 1533-position model. Lineage: Bacteria; Bacillati; Bacillota; Bacilli; Lactobacillales; Enterococcaceae. The record is from RNAcentral.
CAAUUGGAAAGAGGAGUGGCGGACGGGUGAGUAACACGUGGGUAACCUACCCAUCAGAGGGGGAUAACACUUGGAAACAGGUGCUAAUACCGCAUAACAGUUUAUGCCGCAUGGCAUAAGAGUGAAAGGCGCUUUCGGGUGUCGCUGAUGGAUGGACCCGCGGUGCAUUAGCUAGUUGGUGAGGUAACGGCUCACCAAGGCCACGAUGCAUAGCCGACCUGAGAGGGUGAUCGGCCACACUGGGACUGAGACACGGCCCAGACUCCUACGGGAGGCAGCAGUAGGGAAUCUUCGGCAAUGGACGAAAGUCUGACCGAGCAACGCCGCGUGAGUGAAGAAGGUUUUCGGAUCGUAAAACUCUGUUGUUAGAGAAGAACAAGGACGUUAGUAACUGAACGUCCCCUGACGGUAUCUAACCAGAAAGCCACGGCUAACUACGUGCCAGCAGCCGCGGUAAUACGUAGGUGGCAAGCGUUGUCCGGAUUUAUUGGGCGUAAAGCGAGCGCAGGCGGUUUCUUAAGUCUGAUGUGAAAGCCCCCGGCUCAACCGGGGAGGGUCAUUGGAAACUGGGAGACUUGAGUGCAGAAGAGGAGAGUGGAAUUCCAUGUGUAGCGGUGAAAUGCGUAGAUAUAUGGAGGAACACCAGUGGCGAAGGCGGCUCUCUGGUCUGUAACUGACGCUGAGGCUCGAAAGCGUGNGGAGCAAACAGGAUUAGAUACCCUGGUAGUCCACGCCGUAAACGAUGAGUGCUAAGUGUUGGAGGGUUUCCGCCCUUCAGUGCUGCAGCAAACGCAUUAAGCACUCCGCCUGGGGAGUACGACCGCAAGGUUGAAACUCAAAGGAAUUGACGGGGGCCCGCACAAGCGGUGGAGCAUGUGGUUUAAUUCGAAGCAACGCGAAGAACCUUACCAGGUCUUGACAUCCUUUGACCACUCUAGAGAUAGAGCUUUCCCUUCGGGG